UAAAGGGGCUUUCUGUGUCCUCUAAAUGAGUCGUUGAAUAUCAACAAACCUACUUACAGCUCUGCAAUGUAUUUAGACGAUGAAAUAUCCCGGAAGUAUUUCCGGGGUCUUUGACCUCGUGCAUAAAGAAAACACAUUUGACUGAUUUGACUGAGAUGGAAAUAAUCCUACUCUUGGGAUGACUGAAGAGGCGAAGGAUUUCUCAAGGUUGAGCCUGUAAGGUUUUAGAAGGUCAAACCAUUUAUAACCAAAAGCAUGAUCUUCGUGACGUUUCCUUUACAGUAUCUAUCAGG
Long non-coding RNA from Macrobrachium nipponense, 293 nucleotides. RefSeq lists it as uncharacterized. The transcript is spliced from 3 exons. Lineage: Eukaryota; Metazoa; Arthropoda; Malacostraca; Decapoda; Palaemonidae. The record is from RefSeq and is a predicted model, not a curated record.